This 496-nucleotide ribosomal RNA is filed under the name uncultured bacterium. RNAcentral's name for it is "bacterial SSU rRNA". It matches the Rfam family "Bacterial small subunit ribosomal RNA", at positions 21 to 518 of the family's 1533-position model. The record is from RNAcentral.
GGUUCAGGACGAACGCUGGCGGCAUGCCUAAUACAUGCAAGUCGAACGGAACAAGACUGGCUGUAGCGAUACUUCGGUCUUGUUAGUGGCGAACGGGUGAGUAACACGUGAGCAACCUGCCUUCUACACAGGGAUAACAGCCGGAAACGGCUGCUAAUACCGGAUAAGACCACACUGAGGCAUCUCAGAGGGGUCAAAGCGAUUUAGCGGUAGAAGAUGGGCUCGCGUCCCAUUAGCUAGUUGGUGAGAUAACAGCCCACCAAGGCGACGAUGGGUAGCCGACUUGAGAGAGUGAUCGGCCACAUUGGAACUGAGACACGGUCCAGACUCCUUCGGGAGGCAGCAGUGGGGAAUAUUGGGCAAUGGAGGAAACUCUUACCCAGCAAAUGCCGCGUGAAUGAAGAAGGCCUUCGGGUUGUAAAGUUCUUUUAUUGAUGAUAAAGCAAGUGAUAUUAGUCAAUGAAUAAGCCCCGGCUAACUACGUGCCAGCAGCAGC